AACAAGGUAUGCUUGGAGGAGCUCCGGCUGAAGAGGAUGGUGGUUUCCGAUGAAAGCUUGGAGCUGCUCUCGAGGUCUUGUGCGAAUUUUAAGUCUUUGGUUCUUGUUAGUUGUGAAGGUUUCACCACUGAUGGGCUUGCUGCUAUUGCUGCUAAUUGUAGGUAAGAAAUAAUUACUUCCCUUUCAUUCUUUUUUCUUUUUCUCCUCUAUUUUUUAAGCUUUUAGAUGGUCUGGCUUUAUCUAUUUAUCUUUUGUUUUGUUCUAAUGCGGUGUUGAGUAUUUGGGUUGCUUAAAAAGAUUGUUCCUUUUACCUUGAAUUGCUUAUGGAAUUUCUGUUAGAAGUAAAAAAUUCUACUGCAGUCCAGUUAAGUGUAAUAAGAACUGGAAUUCAGGAAAAAAAAGUUAUCCUUGGGAUCUACUUCCCUACUUCUUCACAGAUCAAUAUGUUGUAUUAUUUGAUAGACUCUUGUUUUUUGUGAAUUAGAAUUUUUUGUAGUCGCCUGCUUUGUUCCCGACAUUGCUAUUUGCAACAUAAUUUUUUCCCCCAUCCUUGUUUUCAUUUGCAAUGUUGUGUUGUUUCACAGUCUGCAAGUUAUUAUCUGUUUCUAGGUUGGCUUUUUUAUCUAUGUAAUCAACAUUGUUGUGAUGCCAAUAAAUUCAACGGAUGCUCUUAUUUAAAUUUUGUUAACACAAGUAAAAUUUCUCAUCUGCCUGGAUGUACUGCUUUUUGAAAUUUUCCACAACUCCCUUUCUUUAUUGAAAUCAAGCUUCUUGUUAGUGUUAUAGUCUAGAUUAUUGGUUCGCUUUCGAGGCUGUGCUUGUUUGCUUUCAUAUAAGAAUUGUUAUCCAAUUUAAUGAAAUUAAAAGCAUCUGAAAAUUAAAAUGCAGUUGCAAAGCGGCAACAACUAUCACCUGUUAGCCUACCACAAUAAGAGAAUGUGUUGUGGGUGGUUAAUAACUUACUAUGAAUGUUGGGUAUUUAGAGUCCGGACAUAGAUACGAGUUGUGUUAUAACUUUAUAUGCCUUUCUCUAUCUUCACCCAGGUUUCUUAGAGAGCUGGACCUGCAAGAAAAUGAAGUUGAGGAUCAUAGAGGCCACUGGCUUGGUUGUUUCCCUGAUAACUGUACAUCUCUCAUAUCACUUAAUUUUGCUUGCCUCAAAGGAGAUAUUAAUUUGGGAGUUCUAGAGAGACUCGUAGCAAGAUCUCCAAAUCUCAGAAGUUUGAGGUUAAAUCGAGCAGUUCCACUUGAUACACUUCAGAAGAUAUUGAUGCUAUCGCCUCAGUUAUUGGACUUGGGUGUAGGAUCUUGUGUGCAUGAUCCAGAAUCUGAAACCUACAACAAAUUAGUGACUGCCAUUCAAAAGUGUAAAUCAGUCAGGAGCUUGUCCGGGUUUUUGGACGUCGCUCCUCACUGCCUACCAGCUUUUCACUUGAUUUGCCCAAACCUGACCUCCUUGAAUCUGAGCUAUGCUCCAGGAAUUCAAGGUAGUGACCUUACAAAGCUAAUUCGCCACUGUAGGAAACUCCAGCGCUUAUGGGUAUGGCUUAUUAACUAACUUCUUUAGAAAUUCAAUGGUUUGCUUUUUUGUCAUUGCAGAUUUGACAAUGGAUGUUUGCAAUAAUUGCAGAUACUAGACUGUAUUGGAGAUAAAGGACUAGAAGUUGUGGCAUCCACUUGUAAGGAUUUGCAGGAACUGAGGGUUUUCCCUUCGGAUCCUUAUGUUGGAAAUGCAGCAGUGACGGAAGAAGGCUUGGUUGCUAUUUCCAGUGGUUGUCCUAAGCUUCAUUCAAUUUUAUACUUUUGUCAGCAGAUGACAAAUGCAGCCCUCAUAGCAGUCGCCAAGAACUGUCCGAAUUUUAUCCGCUUCAGGUUGUGUAUCUUGGAUCCCACAAAACCAGAUGCUGUGACCAUGCAGCCAUUAGAUGAAGGUUUUGGGGCUAUUGUUCAUUCAUGCAAGGGUCUCAGGCGACUGUCACUUACUGGUCUUCUGACUGACCAAGUUUUCCUUUACAUUGGAAUGUAUGCUGAACAACUUGAAAUGCUUUCAAUCGCAUUUGCUGGGGAUAGUGACCAGGGGAUGCAGUACGUGUUAAAUGGUUGCAAGAAACUUCGUAAAUUAGAGAUCAGGGACUGCCCUUUUGGCAAUGGAGCACUUCUUAUGGACGUGGGAAAGUAUGAGACAAUGCGAUCCCUUUGGAUGUCGUCCUGUGAAGUUACACU
Molecule: long non-coding RNA, 2223 nt
Filed under: Manihot esculenta (cassava)
Lineage: Eukaryota; Viridiplantae; Streptophyta; Magnoliopsida; Malpighiales; Euphorbiaceae
Description: long non-coding RNA (MESC_LNC006498)
Source: RNAcentral